GUACACUCCUGCGGGAGGCAGCAGUGGGGAAUAUUAGACAAUGGGCGCAAGCCUGAUCCAGCCAUGCCGCGUGAGUGAUGAAGGCCCUAGGGUUGUAAAGCUCUUUCACCGGUGAAGAUAAUGACGGUAACCGGAGAAGAAGCCCCGGCUAACUUCGUGCCAGCAGCCGCGGUAAUACGAAGGGGGCUAGCGUUGUUCGGAUUUACUGGGCGUAAAGCGCACGUAGGCGGACUAUUAAGUCAGGGGUGAAAUCCCGGGGCUCAACCCCGGAACUGCCUUUGAUACUGGUAGUCUUGAGUUCGAGAGAGGUGAGUGGAAUUCCGAGUGUAGAGGUGAAAUUCGUAGAUAUUCGGAGGAACACCAGUGGCGAAGGCGGCUCACUGGCUCGAUACUGACGCUGAGGUGCGAAAGCGUGGGGAGCAAACAGGAUUAGAUACCCCUGUAGUCCCAUGA
Molecule: ribosomal RNA, 453 nt
Filed under: uncultured organism
Description: partial 16S ribosomal RNA
Rfam family: Bacterial small subunit ribosomal RNA
Source: RNAcentral